CGGCGAGUGAAGCGGCAACAGCUCAAAUUUGAAAUCUGGCCUCGGCCCGAGUUGUAAUUUGCAGAGGAUGCUUCUGGCGCGGUGCCUUCCGAGUUCCCUGGAACGGGACGCCACAGAGGGUGAGAGCCCCGUAUGGUCGGACACCAAGCCUGUGUGAAGCUCCUUCGACGAGUCGAGUAGUUUGGGAAUGCUGCUCUAAAUGGGAGGUAAAUCUCUUCUAAAGCUAAAUACCGGCCAGAGACCGAUAGCGCACAAGUAGAGUGAUCGAAAGAUGAAAAGCACCUUGAAAAGGGGGUUAAAUAGUACGUGAAAUUGUUGAAAGGGAAGCACUUAUGACCAGACUUGGGCCGGGCGGCUCAUCAGGGGUUCUCCCCUGUGCACUCCGCCCGGCACAGGCCAGCAUCGGUUUUCGCGGGGGGAUAAGACCGACGGGAACGUAGCACCCUCCGGGGUGUGUUAUAGCCCGGCGGACGAUACCCUCGCGGGGACCGAGGACCGCGCUUCGGCAAGGAUGCUGGCGUAAUG
Molecule: ribosomal RNA, 525 nt
Filed under: Diaporthe melonis
Lineage: Eukaryota; Fungi; Ascomycota; Sordariomycetes; Diaporthales; Diaporthaceae
Description: eukaryotic LSU rRNA
Rfam family: Eukaryotic large subunit ribosomal RNA
Source: RNAcentral